RNAcentral lists this long non-coding RNA (893 nucleotides) under Anas platyrhynchos platyrhynchos (common mallard). Its description in RNAcentral is "lncRNA (ENSAPLG00000019390.1)". The record is from RNAcentral. Lineage: Eukaryota; Metazoa; Chordata; Aves; Anseriformes; Anatidae.
CCAGCUCACCCGGCAUGGCCCCCAGUGCUUGUAAGUAGCAUGAGGACACCCCCAGGGACACCUCCAGGGCCCUGCUGAGGGCUCUUGGCCCCACCAAAGGACCAGUGGUCUCGGCACCACACUCAGCCUCGCUUCUCCUCCCCACAGCUGCCGUGAGACCAACCUCUACUGGUACCAGGAUAAUCGGUGCAAGAGCCGGGUCAGCAAGAUGGCUGUGGGCAUGGGCCUGGCCGUGGCGGUCUUGUGCUUGGUCAUCUUUGGCCUUGCUGCCUUCAUCUUCAGGUCCAGGAGGCAGAAGUCGUUGGACAGGUACAGCAACCUGACAGAGACCAAGAAGCAGUGGUACGAGGAAGAGGAUGAGAACUGGAAACUCCCUGGGGGCUUCACCAUCCAGAAUGAUGGUAUGGGGUUGGAGGGGGGAACCCACUGACCCCCACGAUGGGAUGAUGAGAUGGGGGGGUUAGUGGAACCCCCACCCGGGGCAUCCCCAUUGAGCUCCUUCACCCCACAGAUGUCUAUGAGGACACCAUGCGGGUUGACCUGCAGUCCGUGGACACCUUGGCAAAGGUAGGUCCCCCCACCCACCUGAAGGGGGCGACAUAUGAGGGGUAGCACCCCCACCGAUCUAAUGGACUCACCAUGUGACCCCCCCCCCCCCCCCACCUUAAAAAAUUCCCCCCAGGUCCAAAUCCAGAGGCCAGAGAGGAUCACCUCGGAGCUCUGAGCAGGGAGGAGGGGACACCAGGAGGCUGCCUCCUCUCCCCCCAGGGAGCCACACAGCACUGGGGGAUAACCCUUGCUUUUCGGGAGGUAUCAUGACCUCAAGUUGGGGAUCAUGGCCCUCACUUUUAUGGUCAUGACCCCCACCCUUCCUAUAGCACUUCAUUUGGCCC